Molecule: ribosomal RNA, 440 nt
Filed under: uncultured bacterium
Lineage: Bacteria
Description: partial 16S ribosomal RNA
Rfam family: Bacterial small subunit ribosomal RNA
Source: RNAcentral
CCUACGGGAGGCAGCAGUGGGGGAUAUUGCACAAUGGGGGAAACCCUGAUGCAGCGACGCCGCGUGUGGGAAGACGGUCCUCUGGCUUGUAAACCACUUUCCCCAGGGACGAAGAUGACGGUACCUUGGGAGGACGCUCCGGCUAACUACGUGCCAGCAGCCGCGGUAAUACGUAGGGAGUGAGCGUUGUCCGGAAUUACUGGGUGUAAAGGGAGCGUAGGCGGGACUGCAAGUUGGGUGUCAAAUCUACCGGCUCAACCGGUAGCCGCACUCAAAACUGCAGUUCUUGAGUGAAGUAGAGGCAGGCGGAACUCCGAGUGUAGCGGUGAAAUGCGUAGAUAUUAGGAGGAACACCAGUGGCGAAGGCGGCCUGCUGGGCUGUGACUGACGCUGAGGCUCGAAAGUGUGGGGAGCAAACAGGAUUAGAUACCCUUGUAGUC